GCCGGCGUAGCUUAAAGGUAAAGCAAUCGCCUUGUAAGCGAUGGAUUAGGAGUUCAAGUCUCCUCGUCGGCU
Molecule: transfer RNA, 72 nt
Filed under: Anaerolineae bacterium CG_4_9_14_0_8_um_filter_58_9
Lineage: Bacteria; Bacillati; Chloroflexota; Anaerolineae
Also listed under: 1 other name
Description: tRNA-Thr
Rfam family: tRNA
About the family: Transfer RNA (tRNA) molecules are approximately 80 nucleotides in length.
Source: RNAcentral